RNAcentral lists this ribosomal RNA (253 nucleotides) under uncultured bacterium. RNAcentral describes it as "partial 16S ribosomal RNA". It matches the Rfam family "Bacterial small subunit ribosomal RNA", at positions 524 to 776 of the family's 1533-position model. The record is from RNAcentral.
GACAGAGGAUGCAAACGUUGCUCGGAAUUACUGGGCGUAAAGCGCAUGUAGGCGGCUUGGUAAGUCGGACGUGAAAGCCCGGGGCUCAACCCCGGAAGUGCGUUCGAUACUGCCGAACUUGGGUCCUGAAGAGGAGAGCGGAAUUCCCGGUGUAGAGGUGAAAUUCGUAGAUAUCGGGAGGAACACCAGUGGCGAAGGCGGCUCUCUGGGCAGGUACCGACGCUGAGAUGCGAAAGCGUGGGAAGCAAACAGG